This 200-nucleotide long non-coding RNA is filed under the name Hordeum vulgare. RNAcentral's name for it is "long non-coding RNA (HVUL_LNC003399)". Lineage: Eukaryota; Viridiplantae; Streptophyta; Magnoliopsida; Poales; Poaceae. The record is from RNAcentral.
UUCUUUGUCCUCUUCUUCUAUUUAUCCUCUUCUUCUCCUCUUCUCGUGUUUUCUUCUUCUUGUUGUUCCUAUUAUUUUUAUUAUUAUUUUCUUAUCCUCCCCUUUUUGUUAUUUUUCUUAUUCUUCUUCCUUCUUUUCGUUUUUCCAAUUCUUCUCAUCUUCUCGUAUUCUCCAAUUCUCUUCUUUUCUUCUAAUCCUCC